This 450-nucleotide ribosomal RNA is filed under the name uncultured bacterium. RNAcentral describes it as "partial 16S ribosomal RNA". It matches the Rfam family "Bacterial small subunit ribosomal RNA", at positions 354 to 796 of the family's 1533-position model. The record is from RNAcentral.
GUGGGGAAUAUUGGACAAUGGGCGAAAGCCUGAUCCAGCCAUGCCGCGUGUGUGAAGAAGGUCUUCGGAUUGUAAAGCACUUUAAGUUGGGAGGAAGGGUAGUAACCUAAUACGUUGCUACUUUGACGUUACCGACAGAAUAAGCACCGGCUAACUUCGUGCCAGCAGCCGCGGUAAUACGAAGGUCCCAAGCGUUGUUCGGAAUCACUGGGCGUAAAGGGUGCGUAGGCGGCGUGGUAAGUCAGAUGUGAAAUCCCGGGGCUCAACCUCGGAACUGCAUCCGAUACUGCGAUGCUUGAGGGCUGGAGAGGUAACUGGAAUUCUCGGUGUAGCAGUGAAAUGCGUGGAUAUCGAGAGGAACACUCGUGGCGAAGGCGAGUUACUGGACAGCAUCUGACGCUGAGGCACGAAGGCCAGGGGAGCGAAAGGGAUUAGAUACCCUGGUAGUCC